Acinonyx jubatus (cheetah) is the source of this 7367-nucleotide long non-coding RNA. RefSeq lists it as uncharacterized. The record is from RefSeq and is a predicted model, not a curated record. The transcript has 2 exons. NCBI's taxonomy places the organism in Eukaryota, Metazoa, Chordata, Mammalia, Carnivora, Felidae.
AUCUCCCCAUUCCUUCUUCUCUUACACCCCAAGUGUAAAGGGAGAGUGAACACAUGUACACACACUACACACAGACACACACACACACACACACACACGCACAGACACACCCAACGUUAUGACCUGUUCAAGAAUUAAUCAGUUGGGACUCAGCGCUCGAAACUUAACAUCAAUAGUUUGCAGCUAAUGAUGUACGAACCGCUGUUAGCCUAGAUGGACAUUUGACCCAGAGGCUGAGGAGCUGGAGGUCUCAUUGUGAUUUCAUUUGUGAUUCACAGCCCAAGUCUAGUGUAGAGAUAGGAGGUGCAGCUUGAUGGAUAAUAAAAGAAUAGAGGUUUAGACAAAGAAAAUAAUGAGAAAGGGAUUAUUUAGAAACCUGUUUUACCCUCUCCACCUCACUGGGUGGCCCCCAUCCUUUGGUGCAGACAUAAUUUGAAGAACCCAGAGCAUAUGAUUGGUAGUAAGUAAUCGAAUAAAUUCAUAGGAUGGGAGCAAGGCUCAGGAGCCUAUAAAAGAUUCAAGUCCUACUUCCCCUUAGGAGAGAGGUAUCCAACCAGUAUUAAUAUUUUAGAAAUACUAGAAGGUGGAAGAGGAGCCAUUAUUCAUCACUAGCACCUCCGUGGUACUAAAAUUAAAUAAUGGAUUUUUUUUUAAGACAGAAUUGCUAGAGUUGUGGAACUAUAAAAAAUAUUCCUCUCUUGGGGAUGUUGCAUUUUUUGCUUUUAUCUUUUCUUCUCCUCUUGAGAACAUUUUGAUUUACUUCUGUGAUAAGCUUAUAACAACUAAGGAACUUGGGAGGCGGGUUGAGCUAGGCUGGGAGGGAGGGGGUUUAGGCAGCUGACAAAUGAGCCUGUGUAAAUUUGUUUGGCUUCGAGUCAGGAAGCACCAGGACUGCGCAUGCAUUCAUUUACCACUGCAUAGCGUGUAUGCGAGCACAUAUGGGCUGGGGCCCUGGGCCCUGUAAUAGUGAGCGCCCACUGUGGUGUGCAGGCUUGGGGUCUGAGCAUGCUCGUCUGCUCAACAGGAUCCCUGCGAAGAAAACCGAGCUCUCCCCUUCCUAAUCCAGUGAAAGCCUUGAAGCACCAGCCCUGCUCCUCGAGGAGGCAUCUGGUCUAGCUGUGAGGAAUCACGCAGCCAGGGGUUGGCUUCACACCAGCCUCCGUGUUUCUGGAUUGGCUCAGCUGGUCUCAGAGGUUUCCAUGUCUGGCUCCGCCCCAGAGCUAGCUGCUUAACCCAGUUGGACCAAUGACUUUGCCUACUGAGUCUCACUUUCCCCACCCUUGAAAUAGAAAUAAUAGUAACUACCUGGCAAAAACAAACAAGCAAACAAAAAAACUACCAGAACUUUAGCAAGGGUGCCUGACAUUUAUGAGACCUCAGUGAAAGCAGUUAUUACCUAAGAUGCAACUUGAAGGUUUUUAAAAAUCCUCUUAAUUAUAAAGUUACUCUUCCUGAUAUUGACAUGCUGCCAUGUUUAGAUAUACUCAGAUGGUAAUUGUUAGUAUUUGCUGAGUGCCUACUGUUUGCCAGCCAUAGUACCCUGUGCUCACCAUGACCUUGGGAGCUCAGAUCUCUUACCCUCAUUGAACUGAAGAACUGACAUUCAGAUGGAUGAGAGGGUCACUCAAGUUCAAAACCAAGGACAUACUAGAGCCCGAGCAUAAGCUGACACCAAACCAUUAUCUAAACCACUGCACAGUGGAGGCAGGAGGGGUGGCUAUUGCUUGGUACACAGAGAAAUGGAGUUAAAGGGAAUGGGCGAGAAUCUUUGCCCAGCAAUGGCCCGAGAGUGGCUGAGUUAGGUUUAAACAGACAUCCAUGGAUGGUAUCUCAUUCCUUACCAUGCAGCACUGAUCCACACCCGUUGAGGACUGCUCCGAGCUUCAGCCUGAAGGGUCCAUAGCAACUGAGAAUGAGAAACAGCCUCAGAGUCUAUCUGGCAUGGGUCACCUCUACAGCACCUUUACCAGCGGGUGGUGUGGGCCUGGACACCACAGUGUCCAGUGGCAGGCUUCUCCAUCACCAGACAGCUCAUGCCAUCAGCUAAUGCUCUCCAACCUCACAAUGUUUCCCUCCAUUUAAGCUGAAAUCUAUCUGUUCAGUAACUUGUAUUGAUUGACUUUCCUGAAACAACAAAACUAAGCCAAUCUCCUCUUUUGCAGGUCUUUAGGUGAUGCCCAAAACUAUGCCCCCCCCCAUCUCUCUAUGUCUCCAAUCACUUAAGGGGCUUCACUGUGUUAAUCCUAUAUAGAACAGACCACCUUGGUUCUCCCUCAAAUACAUGCUUCCUUUAGGGUCCCUACGUCACGUAACCUCUACCCGUCCCCAUAUCCCUUGGAGAGAACACACCAUACAACAUGAUCUGUUAUGGAGUAAUCACCCACAAGACAGUUAUUGGACAGUUAUUUACCCAUGACUGUUUUAAAGGAUUAGUUACCAUAACCUGAGAGGAACCCACAAUCCAUACACAACCCCCACCAAGAGCCUUCCAUUUAUUGUGCAACUUAUGAAACCCUUUGCCAAAGUCUUUAUUGACUUGUAGUUUGUAUGAUCCUUUCUUGUUGGACUUCCCUUAGAAAAACCGUAUUUUAUAAAGAUGUUCACCCAAGUUGAUCUCAUUUCAUCCAUGAGCCUGUUAAUUUUCAGGAAGCACACCGCUCUACUCUUUAAAAUGCGUGUGUUUCAUUGGGAUCAUUUAAUUAGGCAAGCCACUCUAAAUGACUCUCGUAGGAAGAUACCAGAGUAUCUCUCAUAUCUCAAGCCCAAGAAGCAAAGCUGGUCUUUACCAGAAAUUGAUAAGCCAUUUUGAAAUCAUGAAAUCAAAUGAAAGCUAUGCAAGUUCAUUAAUUUGUGUACUUCUUUCCUUUCCUUUUUUACCAUGUGGUCUCUCAUUUCACUUUUUCUCUUUACGUAGCUUCUUUACUUAUUACAAAAUAUUUAAGUGUCUACUAUACAUCAUGCUCUGUUCACAGCCAUGAACAAAGACCAAAGUCCCUAAUAACAUGGAACAUUUAUUUUAAUGGUAAAUAGAGAUAGCAAACAGAUAACUAUGUCAGGUGAUGAUGGGUUAGUUCUAUGAAGGAAAACAAAGCAGGGUCAUUGACAUAGAGGAUAAUGUUGGAAGGGAAGCCACUUUUUUUUUUUAAUAAGGUGGUCAUGGAAGUCCUGACUAAAUAAAUGAAUAUAAUUAGAGAAGUCAGGGACAGUGAAGGAAUGAGUUAUACAGAUAUACACUUGGUAAUAGCCUGGUGAAUUAAAGCCAUUUGCCAGACACCACUGGGAAAGAGGACUGUGAUAUUUUGGUAGAAAAAUAUAAUUUAAAGAUGAAGCCUGAGGCAUAAAAUUAAGUAAUGCCGAAGAGGAUAAUUCACCAUCUACAGGGCUUGAGCCCAAACUGGCUUCAUAUAUACACAGAUAUCCACUGUCUUCCCUUUCUGUUUUCCAAGUAGACCAUGUUCUUUGUCAAGGUCUAUACUUAGGGUCUGAAAGGGCCUCCCCAAAAUGGUACACUUGGCUUUUAUCCUGAUAAGACUUUCAGGCUCCACAACCCUUGCUUAGCUAACCGACUCAGUCUCUUCCUGUCCCAACACCAGGCUUCCUAAGGAGAUUAUCUGAUUGGCCAGGCUCAGCUUUUGGAUAGGAACCUUUUGGUUCAUCGGAGAGUAACCCCAGGGCUGAAACAGGGGUAGGCCCAAGAAAGGCAUUUUGGAGGAAAUGGCAGAAAAACAGGAUAGGAGGAUAUGUGUGGACAAAGCAACAGUUGAGGCUGAAGAUAGGGAUGGGUUGUAAAAUGAACUACUGAAGGAGCCUGAAUUUUCUCUGAAAGUGAAAUCUUUCCCAGAAAGAUUUCAAUCAUAUGUGACCCAAUUGUGAGAGACAGUUACUGCUUCAGGGAAUGAGGAACUUUGAAGGCAUGCACAGGUCCUUGUAACCAAGGUGCAUGUGAGGCAGAAUAGAAUGCCAGGCUUUCAAUUGAAAAUGAUUGAAAUUUUAUUUAUAUUUGACACUGCUUGUGUUUCCAAGCAUCAGACUUAACAUUAAAAUUUGUCCUGAAUUAUAAGAAUAAUAAGAAUAAGUAUUGAAACUCUUGGCAAAAGGGCAGCCAACAUGCAUUUCCAGGGAGAAAUUGUUCAAUUGUUCGUGUUUAUUACUUCCAAACGGGAAUCGCUCCAGGUUCAUAAUGCUGAUUUUGUUACAUUGCUGUCUCUGAACUGUGGUUCAGAUGAGUGCAUAAAUAUUUGGUUUAAUAUUUCUUUGGGAACUGUAAAAAUCUGAACUGAUGGAAAGGAGAGGAGCAGAGCAAUGGCGAGGGAAAGUUGGUAAGAGAAUAAGUGUGUAUAUUUCAACAGUGCCCAAGGGGCAUGAUUAAUUUAUUAUCCUUUUAGAUGGCAGAAUGCAUGCGGAAACCUCCACAUUAUGCCAUGACUAUGACAAAGCUAAGAGGGUGUGAGCAGGUAAAGAUAUUCCUGCCAAGAAUUUGAUGUAUGGAGGGAAUGGGUGACCCAUUGGAUACAUAUAAAUCUGGGAAUGGAGACUUGAAAGUCCCUAAUGUUGGCUCUGUCACUGGCAUAAGGCCUGAGAUGAACAUCUCUGCUCUCAGCCUUAAGGGGGGGCGGGGGGGCAUGUCACGAGGAGGCCAGACCUGAACACUGUCAACAGCGCCAGGCUCUGAAUCUUUGUUGAUUCUAUUUCUGGGCUGCUCCCACACAAGCCAGCACACAUCUAUUAGUUGGCCAUAUGGAGUUGGGCCUAAAACCAUGGGUUCUGGAUACUUGGAUUCAAAUCCAAAGUUAUUCCCUAGCUAACUUUGCCAAGGCUUGUGGGACUCAGUUUCUUCCUCCAUAAAGUGAAGAUUAGUAUAAAUACCUAUUCCACUGAGUUGUAAGGAUUAAAUAAACUACUGUGUGUAAAAUGUUUCGAAUAAAGUGUGGCAAAGAGUUUGUGUUCAAUGAAAGGUAGCUUCUGUCAUUCUCCUCCCCUUCUUCUUCUUCAUCACCAUCAUCAUCACCAUUUAAUAGUUAUAAAAAGAACAACUACCUUAAACUAUUGAAUAUUUUAUGUAUGUAUGCGUUGCAUAUCUCUCGGAUCAUUUACUUGCCAUAAUCCUUUUGGGAGAGACAUUAUUUCCCCCAUUUUGCAGAGAAUGGGAAUGAGGCUCAGAGAGGCCACACUGCUUACAAAAGUUCAUGUUGCUUGUGAGCUCUGAGCUGGGAUGCGGACAUAUUUUUACCUAUCUUUCCACCCUGUUCUUUUAAACCCUCUGUGCAUUAGUCAGGAUAGGCAGGCUCUGCUGCAGUGAUAAGCAAAUCCUAAUUUCAGUUGAUCAAAGUAACAGAGGCUUAACUAACCUCCAUGUCCACUGAGAGUUAGGUGUGGGCUCUGCUCCUCCUCAUUAUCAUUCUUUCCCUAAGAUCUAGGUUGAUGAAGUCACUAUUAUCUGGAAAUUGCUGGUCACAUGGAGAAGGCAAUCAACAUGGAUAAGCAUAUCAUAACUCUUAAAGCUUUUGCCUAGAAUUAGCUGAAGUGACACAUAGCACUUUCAGUCAUACUUCAUUAGCCAAAGCAAGUCACAUCGCCAAAAGCAAUGUCAUGUAUCGGGGAAAUAGAGUCCUACUAUGUGCCAAGAAGGAGAGGAGACAGAGUAUUUAGACACAGCUUCAGUGACCACUUCCUACUAUCAUAUAUCUGAGUCAUAAAUAGAUUAGACAGCAAGUAUAGAAGAUGUGGAGUUUUUACCAGAAAUUUCAGGGACCAUCUUGAUUGUAGAACAAGAAGAGUCAAGGUCAAGGAAGACAUUUUGAAGGGACCCAAUGAGAAAGGGAGUAUAACUCACAGCCUGCAUUAAGAAACCAGAAAUUCAAGAAGUGACAUCUAAGGAUCCCAGUUAUUCUCUUGGACACAAAGGGGUCCAAAAGUGUGAUACUAAUGGGCAAUGAAUGAACUUUGGGUCCAGACAAGCAAGGUACAAUGCCUGAAGGAUCCAAAAUGACUCUCUUUCUCUGAUCUUCUGUGGCAUCUUUCAGCACAUCUGUGCUCUUGCAUGAUCUAGACUUCAAAGAAUGCAUAGAACUGAGAGCCCGUGGAGGUCUACAAACACUCUGGGACUCAUAAAUGGCCAAUAAACGCUUUGAAUGGAAAAAAAGGAGGUGGAGAGAGACAGUGUAUUAGAGGAAGGAAAAGUCAUGGAAGUGGGGCGCCUGGGUGGCUCAGUUGAUUAAGUGUAGGACUUUGAGGUCAAGAUCUCAGGGUUCAUGAUGCCGAGCCUUGUGUCGGGCUCUGUGCUGACAGCUCAGGGCCUGGAGCCUGCUUUGGAUUCUGUGUCUCCCUCUCUCUCUGCCCCUCCCCCACGAACGCUCUGUCUCUCUUUCUCUCAAAAAUAAGUAAACAUUAAAAAUUAAGAAAACAAAAAGUCAUGGAAGAGAAACUGACCAUGAGGCUGAGUGAGAGGUAGUAAGAGUUUGGUGUAUAUUUUUAACAAACAGAAACUGAGCUCCUGCAGUGCGAACAGCAUUGUGCCUCUUAUAAAUUUAGAUACGUGGAAUCCUACAUCUGUCCUUUUGUGACUGGCUUAUUUCACUUAGCAUGUCCUCAAGUUUCAUCCAUAUCACAGCAUAUGUCAGAAUUCCCUUCCUUUUCAAGGCUGAGUAAUAUUCCAUUUCAUGGAUACAGCACAUUUUAUCCAUUCAUCCAUUGUUGGACACUUGUGUUGUUUCCCUAUCUUGCUAUUAUGAAUAAUGCUGUAGAAUACUUAUCCCUUCUGUGUGUCAAUGGAUCAUUUAGUAAAGAUGAUAUCGCACUCAGCCACUAACAACAUUUUUUUAAGGGGCACCUGGUGGCUCAGUUGGUUAAGUGUUAGACUUCAGCUCAGGUCAUGAUCUCACAGUUUGUGGGUUCGAGCCCCUCACUGGGCUCUGUGCUGACAGCUCAGAGCCUGGAGCCUCCUUCGGAUCCUGUGUCUCCCUCUCUCUCUGCCCUUCCCCCCACUUGUAUGCAUUCUCUCUGUCUCUAAAAUGAACAUUAAAAAAAAUUUUUUUAAAGAUUAAAAUUUUUUUAAAACCUCAAAAAUUGAAAUUUCCUAAGCCACAUUAUUAUGUAAGUUGGAAAUAAAUGAUUAAAAUAGUGUAAAUACUCACAAAUUAAGAAAUACUCUCAUAAAAAAAUUCUACAGCCUAGAGAAUAUAUGCAAAAAAGCAUAGGGGUGCCUGGGUGGCUCAGUCAAACAUCUGACUUCGGCUCAGGUCAUGAUCUUGCAGUCCAUGAGUUCGAGCCCCGCGUUGAGCUCUGUGCUGAUAACUCAGAGCCUGGAGCCUGCUUCAGAUUCUGUGUCUCCCUCUCUCUGCCUCUCUCUCUCUCUCUCUCUCUCUCUC